RNAcentral lists this small RNA (30 nucleotides) under Bombyx mori (domestic silkworm). Its description in RNAcentral is "ovarian small RNA-4507". Lineage: Eukaryota; Metazoa; Arthropoda; Insecta; Lepidoptera; Bombycidae. The record is from RNAcentral.
AGAUGGUUCCCCCCCUUCCGCCGCUAGAGC